GCCUAACACAUGCAAGUCGAACGCACCUUCGGGUGAGUGGCAGACGGGUGAGUAACGCGUGGGAAUCUACCCAUCCCUACGGAAUAGCUCCGGGAAACUGGAAUUAAUACCGUAUACGCCCUUCGGGGGAAAGAUUCAUCGGGGUUGGAUGAGCCCGCGUUAGAUUAGCUAGUUGGUGGGGUAAAGGCCUACCAAGGCGACGAUCUAUAGCUGGUCUGAGAGGAUGAUCAGCCACACUGGGACUGAGACACGGCCCAGACUCCUACGGGAGGCAGCAGUGGGGAAUAUUGCACAAUGGGCGCAAGCCUGAUCCAGCCAUGCCGCGUGAGUGAUGAAGGCCCUAGGGUUGUAAAGCUCUUUCAGUGGGGAAGAUUAUGACGGUACCCAUUUAAGAAGCCCCGGCUAACUUCCUGCCAGCAGCCGCGGUAAU
This 430-nucleotide ribosomal RNA is filed under the name uncultured bacterium. RNAcentral describes it as "bacterial SSU rRNA". It matches the Rfam family "Bacterial small subunit ribosomal RNA", at positions 46 to 524 of the family's 1533-position model. The record is from RNAcentral.